CAAAUUAUUUUGAAUUCACUUAUUUUUAGGUGUACGAAUAAGACCCAGGCUUCGACCAAAGCCGCGACCAGGUAUAACAGUGUUGGUUUUUUUGGGUUUAUUUUACCUUAUUACCGGACUCUUGUGUUGACUACUGUAGUGAAAGUGCAUACUCUGUUUCUUUAGGAGCAAAAUACAGAUUCUUUGGACGCUAUCGUGCUCCACCCAAAAAGAUACUUGGCAGCCCAACAGUGACGUUCAGAAGUCUGAAGUUUGCAAGAAAGAACUGCCAGCGAGUAGCGCGCAUGCGCCGUGCCUGGGCCUUCGCUUUGCGAUUUGGUCGCCAGUGUUACAUCGCUCAAAAAAGUCCGCGCAAGUUUACAAAGUUCGGUUUUCCUCGAACGAAAAUGCCUGGAGCACUGAAGGUUUAUAUCGCUAAAGGAGGUCGUUCCAUACCAAUAAUAAGACCCAGGCCUCGACCCAGACCAAGGCCUUUCCCCCGUCCGAGGCCCCGACCGAGACCAGGACGCAAAACGUACAGGUACAGCGGACUCUACCGACCACCACCAAGGAGAAUGCUGGGAAGUCCUAUUAGGAAAUUUAGAAGCCGACUUUUCGCACGCAGACGGUGUGAAAAAAUAGCAAGAUCAGGCAGAUAUCGAGCAUACGCCUUACAAUAUGGCCGUUACUGUUAUGUUGCUCGGUUAACAAGUAGAAAGUUUACCAGAUAUGGACGCAGCGUAUCCAGGAGACCCAGUGCUCUUAAAGUCUUCAUAGGGACCAGUGGUACGUUUUCCAACAAAUACUAUGUGGGGCUUACUUUGUAACUAGAAGGUUAAGGAUUGUCAGAGAGAUUUAAUAAAAUAAGAUUUUAUCAAAAGAGACGAUCGAGCAAAAUUGGUGUACAGCUUUACAGACCACUAUGGAAGCUAACAUUGUUUACAAAAUCCAUUUGCUCAACUGAGCAAUUUUGCAACAAGGCCAACCUUUAAAACUAAGCUGUCACAGAUUAAGACCCCAUGAGCAGCUUAAAACGAGGAAAAUAUCACUUUUUACAUUCUAAGUGUUAUAGUUUAUCUCCUGGCUGAUUCAAUACUACCGCAAACUUGAGCAACGUCUUACACUGACCGUUUUCAGUUAGCAACUAGUAGCUAUUUUGCUGGUUCUAAUGCUGUACAUUAACUUGUGCAUCUGUUAUCUUUGUAUUUAGGAGGCAUUCUCAGACCUAGACCUCGAAUAAGACCUCGACCUCGAAUAAGGCCUCGACCCAGAAUUCGACCCAGACCUCGAAUCAGACCUCGACCUCGAAUAAGACCUCGACCUCGAAUCAGACCUCGACCCAGAAUUCGACCCAGACCUCGAAUCAGACCUCGUCCAAGGCCUCGGAUACCAGGAAGAAGAAGAGUUGUCCGCAAAUAUCUUGGAAGCUUCCGAGCUCCACCGAGACUGGGACGACCAGUGCGCACCUUCAGACGUCGAACAUACGUUGUGCGCUCGUGUUUCCGUUUAGCCCGAGCGCAAAGGGCAAGAGCUUUUGCCAUCCGAACAGGACGACGAGGAGUCAAGUGUUACUUGUCGAAAAUGACUUCGGUUAAAUUUACAAGACUCGGCAAAACUCGAUUUGGAGGCCUUAAGGUUUACGUUUUGAGAAGAGGUAAUUUACCAACAUUUAAUGUGUCAGCUAAAACAGUUUCUACGUUAAAACAAAUAACGUUUCCAUCAAGU
Molecule: unclassified non-coding RNA, 1704 nt
Filed under: Orbicella faveolata
Lineage: Eukaryota; Metazoa; Cnidaria; Anthozoa; Scleractinia; Merulinidae
Description: uncharacterized LOC110060047, transcript variant X1
Source: RNAcentral